GAUGAAGAACGCAGCGAAAUGCGAUAAGUAAUGUGAAUUGCAGAAUUCAGUGAAUCAUCGAAUCUUUGAACGCACCUUGCGCCCGCCAGUAUUCUGGCGGGCAUGCCUGUUCGAGCGUCAUUACAACCCUCAAGCCCCCCGGCUUGGUGUUGGGGACCGGCCACCGGUGCCCUGCUGCUUCCGCGGCAGGCGCACCCGGCCGCCCCCGAAAUGAAUUGGCGGCCCCGCCGCGGCCUCCCUCUGCGUAGUAGCACACAUCUCGCAGCUGGAGCGCGGCGCGGCCACUGCCGUAAAACGCACCAACUUUUUUUACAGUUGACCUCGAAUCAGGUAGGAAUACCCGCUGAACUUAAGCAUAUCAAUAAGCGGAGGA
Molecule: unclassified non-coding RNA, 373 nt
Filed under: soil metagenome
Description: partial contains 5.8S ribosomal RNA, internal transcribed spacer 2, and large subunit ribosomal RNA
Rfam family: 5.8S ribosomal RNA (bases 1-120)
Source: RNAcentral